AUUGUAUGUUGUUCAUGUCAUGAGUAUUGACGCGAUGGAAGAAAUUGCCAGAGCUCGGAAGUCAGGUCAAAGAAUUGUUGGGGAGCCAGUCGUUUCAGGUUUACUUCUUAAUGAUUCAGUACUUUGGGAUCCUGACUUCCAUUUUGCAGCAAGGUACGUCAUGAGCCCACCAAUCAGAGCAGCAGGUCAUGGAACAGCUCUUCAAGCAGCUCUUGCUGCAGGGGUUCUGCAGCUGGUAGGAACUGAUCACUGCACCUUCAACUCAACUCAGAAAGCGCUAGGAAUUGGUGAUUUCCGGAAAAUACCAAAUGGUGUUAAUGGUAUGGAGGAGAGAAUGCAUUUGGUUUGGAAUACAAUGGUGGCUUCUGGUCAGAUAUCUGUCACUGAUUAUGUUCGCAUAACAAGCACAGAAUGUGCUCGGAUUUUCAAUAUCUAUCCAAGGAAGGGAGCAAUACUUGUUGGGUCUGAUGCAGAUAUAAUCAUUUUAAAUCCCAAUUCAAGCUUCAAGAUUAGUUCAAAGUCACACCAUUAUAGGACAGAUACCAAUGUCUAUGAGGGUUGGACAGGCAUGGGAAAGGUUGAAACUACAAUUGCAGGAGGAAGGGUUGUUUGGGAAAAUGAUGAGCUGAAAGUCAUCCCUGGUGCUGGCAAGUACAUUGAAAUGCCACCUUUCAGUUAUCUUUUUGACGGGAUAGACAAGGCAGAUGCAAAGUACCUCUCUUCCUUAAGAGCACCCGUAGAACGAUCAACGACUUGAUUUGGCAAAUUCACUUUUUCAUUAUGAGGAAGAGGAAUAGAAAGUCUCUCUCUAUUUACUUGUAAAUACAGAAUAUCCUUAAGGACAUUCAAACUCUUGCAGUUGCUGAAAAACCCUUGGUCACAUAAUGCUAUUUAUAAAACUUAUGUUUAUUCCGUAAAGGAUGUUAUACAUUGGUGUAUAGCUG
This 944-nucleotide unclassified non-coding RNA is filed under the name Hevea brasiliensis (rubber tree). Lineage: Eukaryota; Viridiplantae; Streptophyta; Magnoliopsida; Malpighiales; Euphorbiaceae. The record is from RNAcentral.